CUUUCUGUUUUGAGGCUGUGGCAUCCCUAUUCAAUUCAAGACUAAUCUAUGGAGCAUGUAUUGUAUAUUUUGACACAAUGGGGCAUAAAGAUAUGAACUAAAUGAAGCUUCUGCCUCUAUGUAAUUUACAGUAUAGUAGGAAAUGAAGAUAUUUUUAAAAUGCAGGCUAAAUUGGUAGUAUGAAAGAAGUGCAAGUUGCUGUGGAUAGACCAAAAAAAAAAAAAAUGACAGGCAACUACUUCCUGCUGAGGAACUUUGAGGUGGGAACUGAAUCAGCUUCUGGGAGACAGCAGCAUUCCAAGGGAACACUUAAGGUGGGGCAGGAUUUUGGCAGCAGAGCUGUAUAAGAAAUGCAUUCUGGAGAAAGAGAGAGGCAAUGUGUGCAAAGAUAUUUAAAGAAAGUCAGGAUGUUUUCUGAUUAGAAAGUUACCAGGGUGGAUUAGAUAAAAUGGGGUGAUGUGCAGAAUGCAUAGAUUAGGAGAUGUCUUGAAUGUCUAUCCUAAAGGAGAAGAGGCUUAAGGACACCUGAAAUAGCCUCACUAGUUUGGAAAGCUCUGAGGAAGGUUUGCCAAGCUGAAUGUGAAUUCAGGAAAAUAACACUGGGACAGCUUGCUGCUGCCUGGCGAUUCAUUCCUUAUAAGAUGCUGCCUAAUAGCACCUUGUUCUUGGGUCAGGUCCAACUAUCUAGAGGCAAUGCCAACUUUGCUGAAUCUUGAAAUUCUCAGCUUUAAGCCAUCAGCAGAGUAUUUAUGUGUAUGUUUCCAGUUUCC
RNAcentral lists this long non-coding RNA (770 nucleotides) under Marmota monax (woodchuck). Lineage: Eukaryota; Metazoa; Chordata; Mammalia; Rodentia; Sciuridae. The record is from RNAcentral.